AUUGAACGCUGGCGGAAUGCUUUACACAUGCAAGUCGAACGGCAGCACGGACUUCGGUCUGGUGGCGAGUGGCGAACGGGUGAGUAAUAUAUCGGAACGUGCCCAGUCGUGGGGGAUAACGUAGUGAAAAUUACGCUAAUACCGCAUACGAUCUACGGAUGAAAGCGGGGGAUCGCAAGACCUCGCGCGAUUGGAGCGGCCGAUAUCAGAUUAGGUAGUUGGUGGGGUAAAGGCUCACCAAGCCAACGAUCUGUAGCUGGUCUGAGAGGACGACCAGCCACACUGGGACUGAGACACGGCCCAGACUCCUACGGGAGGCAGCAGUGGGGAAUUUUGGACAAUGGACGCAAGUCUGAUCCAGCCAUUCCGCGUGCAGGACGAAGGCCUUCGGGUUGUAAACUGCUUUUGUACAGAACGAAAAGGUUUCUAUUAAUACUAGGAGCUCAUGACGGUACUGUAAGAAUAAGCACCGGCUAACUACGUGCCAGCCGCCGCCGUAA
RNAcentral lists this ribosomal RNA (500 nucleotides) under uncultured bacterium. Its description in RNAcentral is "partial 16S ribosomal RNA". It matches the Rfam family "Bacterial small subunit ribosomal RNA", at positions 30 to 523 of the family's 1533-position model. The record is from RNAcentral.